RNAcentral lists this microRNA precursor (95 nucleotides) under Marmota monax (woodchuck). Lineage: Eukaryota; Metazoa; Chordata; Mammalia; Rodentia; Sciuridae. The record is from RNAcentral.
AUUAAUCACCUGGAGAUCUUGUUCAAUGCUGAUUCUGACUUAAUAGAUCUAAGAUAGAGAUUCUGUAUUUGAAAUAAGCUUCCAGUGAGGAUAAC